CCUACGGGAGGCAGCAGUGAGGAAUAUUGGUCAAUGGACGAGAGUCUGAACCAGCCAAGUAGCGUGAAGGAUGACUGCCCUAUGGGUUUUAAACUUCUUUUAUAAAGGAAUAAAACGCGGCACGUGUGCCUUUUUGCAUGUACCUUAUGAAUAAUGAUCGGCUAACUCCGUGCCAGCAGCCGCGGUAAUACGGAGGAUCCGAGCGUUCUCCGGAUUUAUUGGGUUUAAAGGGAGCGUAGAUGGGUUUUUAAGUCAGUUGUGAAAUUUUGCGGCUCAACCGUAAAAUUGCAAUUGAUACUGGCAGUCUUGAGUACAGUUGAGGUAGGCGGAAUUCGUGGUGUAGCGGUGAAAUGCUUAGAUAUCACGAAGAACCCCGAUUGCGAAGGCAGCUUACUAAACUGUGACUGACAUUGAGGCUCGAAAGUGUGGGUAUCAAACAGGAUUAGAUACCCCAGUAGUC
This 460-nucleotide ribosomal RNA is filed under the name uncultured bacterium. Its description in RNAcentral is "partial 16S ribosomal RNA". It matches the Rfam family "Bacterial small subunit ribosomal RNA", at positions 338 to 795 of the family's 1533-position model. The record is from RNAcentral.